Long non-coding RNA from Sphaeramia orbicularis (orbiculate cardinalfish), 569 nucleotides. RefSeq lists it as uncharacterized. The record is from RefSeq and is a predicted model, not a curated record. NCBI's taxonomy places the organism in Eukaryota, Metazoa, Chordata, Actinopteri, Kurtiformes, Apogonidae. The transcript has 2 exons.
GAGAAACCUGAUCAUCAGGGUGGUGCUGGUCCACUUCAUCCUGAUCACGGGGACCAUUUUCCUCUACUUCUACUGUCGGGCCAGUAGGGGGCGCUUCAGACUGAAGAUACGGAAGACAGGAUGAGAUGCACGACACAGUCUACGACCACAGUCUACGUCCACAUCCACGUCCAUAAUCCACAUCCAUAUCCAUGUCCACGUUCAUCUCCACAUCCACAUCCACAGUUAAACAUGAAGAAGAAGAGUUGUUUGUGUCUUUGUCUCAGUUCCUUUCCUGGAGUCAUGGUCCAGUCUAAAUGCCUUUCAUGCUCUCUGUACAUAUAUAUACUCAUUUUACUCUGUGUUCAUUAUCAUUAGAAUAGAAUAGAAUAGAAUAGAAUAGAAUAGAAUAGAAUAGAAUAGAAUAGAAUAGAAUAGAAUAGAAUAGAUCUUUGUCACUGUCACAGCAACAAUGAAAAUUUAUCAGCUCUGUUCUGCAAGAUAAAAAAAAAAAACAUGACUUUGUAUUUACGCCUCCUGAUUCCUGUCCAAUGAACAGUUCUUCAAUUAAAGUCUGUGUGUGAACAGUU